UAAUAGAAGUACCGCCCGUAUUACGUUUUAUUUUCCCUAAUCCUGUUAUUGUUUUUCAGACGUAGAACGUGAAGACUUGGAUGAUGUCGAUCUCUGGUCAAACACACAAGUACGUGAGUGGGACGGAGUGACAUUUAGCAGUGAGCGAGACAAUGAGAGCGAGACGGUAAGGAGUCAGACACCGUAUGCUUGGGGGGAAGAAGAAGAAGAAGAAGAAGAAGCAGCAUCAGCGUCGAUCGUGGAUGCGGAUGCAGAAACGGUUGGUGACGAACUCAGGUCGGCGAGCCUAAGGCACGAGGUACUCCUUCAUGAAAUAAUUAAUAAAUUGGAUGAUAUCGACCUAGCUACGAAUGCGAAUCAAAUUGACGACGUGACGAACGGGUUACGUCAAUUGGGAACAACGGUUCACGAAAACUUUGAGACAGUUCACGACACCCUUCGUGAGCUGUUGCGCGAGAGGAGACUUUUGGUGGAUCCUGUCGCCAAUCUAAAUCACUUUAUAAUGAGGAGAUAACUGCUCUAUAACAUUUUUAUUGUUGCUGAUUUUAAUUAUGUAAACACCAGCAAUUUUUAAUGUUGCCGAUUUGUUAUUAUCAGUAUUAGACUAUAAUUUAGACGAUAUCUGCACAGUGCUAUUUCAUGUUAAUCUCGUAGUCAAUUCCAUUAUUAAGGCUGUAUGGUUUUAUAUUUUCUUUUUAUUUGUUGUUUGUAAUCACUUUGAUCUUAUCACAGUAUGGUUUAAAAUUUUGUUACCUUUUGUCUGUAGUCACUUUGAUCUUAUCACCAUAUGGUUUAAACUUUUGUUACCUUUUGUCUUUAAUCAGUUUGAUGUUACCAGUGUAUGGUUUAAACUCUGUUGCCUUUAUAAAGAUGUAGUUAUAUUUUUUGUCUGUAAUAAUUAAAAAAAAUGAAUGCCGGAGAUGUACACGGAGCCAAAGCUCUUUCUGACACGCUACAGAGUAUAAUUGAUUUGCAAAUACAAAAUGCUCCUGAUAA
Molecule: long non-coding RNA, 996 nt
Organism: Sinocyclocheilus anshuiensis
Lineage: Eukaryota; Metazoa; Chordata; Actinopteri; Cypriniformes; Cyprinidae
Exons: 3
Source: RefSeq, a predicted model, not a curated record